CUUCACCGACCCCAGGUACAGCGGCUCUUCCCGGUCCUGCCCGUAGGUGGCCAGCAGCGCCUGCGCCUC
This 69-nucleotide antisense RNA is filed under the name Actinokineospora spheciospongiae. RNAcentral's name for it is "Actinokineospora sp. EG49 ASpks TB sRNA". It matches the Rfam family "ASpks TB sRNA". Lineage: Bacteria; Bacillati; Actinomycetota; Actinomycetes; Pseudonocardiales; Pseudonocardiaceae. The record is from Rfam by way of RNAcentral.